GCCAGUCUCCAAUGCUACCACCAAGGCUCUCUUGCUUUUUUUCUUUCCCCUCUCUCUCUACUCUUUUAAUUAAAUCCUAACUCAUCUCUCUGCUUCCAACCCUGCCUCUGCAUUAGUCAGUGCUUCUUAACAGGGGCAGGGCACACUCCUUGGAUUGUGGGAGUGGAAAAUUGAUUGGAUAUUGGUCACCACCAUAAUUGGAGAGGUACUGCUGCCGUUUAGUGUACAGAGGCCGCAGAGGUUAGAGACGCAGCAACGCAUGGCUAUUCAGCCACGGACGUCAAAUGCCUGCCAGACAUUUAGAUAAUUAUUUCAACUCUUCAAGAUUCUAAGGCCACAGACCAUUGAAACAUAAAGAAGACUAUAUAUGGAAUCUAGGAAGAGGAAAGGAAUUUGGGACAACUAUUUAAGACUGCAAGAGAAGAGCCACAGCUUGAGCCAAGGAUUUUUUGGAAGUUUAUCCACAAGACCUCAGGAGCUAGAUUCCAAUCUUUCUGAUUCAAAGAAUCCCCAAACUCAAUGAGGACACGUUUUCCUCCCGAGAACAGCAGAAUGGUAACAAAGAACACAUGAAAAGAAAAUGCUUUCAAGGACCAAAGGAAUUCAUCUACAAAUAUGGAAUUUCCAGCAUGGAAGUCAGUGACAAAGCCCUGGCAUACCCCCAUCGCAGGUGUCGUGAGAACACCGUCCAGUGGGACGAGGCCAGCCCUGCCCUGAGAAGCUGAGAUUCCCACCCCACCUGGAGGGAGCUGAGCACCCUCACAGCAACUCUGAGCCCCUGACUCCAAAGGAGACUCUUCUCCUGUGGUAUCAGACGUAGAGGGCGGGCUCCCUUAAAGUAAAAUUCCACAACAGGGCAGUAGAAAGAUGCAAUGAAACAUAUACGAGUUAUUAAAUAUUGUCAUCAAGAUGAGUAAUAAAUCAGACAUUUUAUGGUUUCUGAUUAUAAAUUCCAUUUAUUCCAUAAGUGUUUAAAGAAAGAAAAAUGGAGACCCAACAGAGAUUUAAGCCUGCCCGAGAUGGGUAUAUUUCAUGAUUGCUUUGUGACUGCUGCAUCCUGGGUGGAAUAGGGGUGGGGGAGAUACAAAAGGGCCCUCUCAGGGCCAGGAAGAAUGAAUUGCUGGGUUUCUGCGGCUCUGUGAGUGCAUUCAUUGUCAUGUGAGACUCUUCCUAAGAAUUCUUUUGAAGUCAGGAAUUCUGGCCAGGUUCCUGGUGGACACACUCUUGAAGAUAGCCUACUCCUUCAAAUCCCAAAACCAACUUAAACAAGAGGCCAGGCGAGAAAAGCCAACGUGGGGAGACUCCAUAGGUCCUGGCAGGUGGCACUGAACAAUGCAGAUCCUUAACAGGAGGGAGGAGAU
This 1361-nucleotide long non-coding RNA is filed under the name Homo sapiens (human). RNAcentral describes it as "non-protein coding lnc-OPCML-3:18". The record is from RNAcentral. Lineage: Eukaryota; Metazoa; Chordata; Mammalia; Primates; Hominidae.